Long non-coding RNA from Syngnathus acus (greater pipefish), 1134 nucleotides. RefSeq lists it as uncharacterized. NCBI's taxonomy places the organism in Eukaryota, Metazoa, Chordata, Actinopteri, Syngnathiformes, Syngnathidae. The record is from RefSeq and is a predicted model, not a curated record. The transcript has 4 exons.
GAGUCGUGUCCUUCCAGCAGCUUCUCGGCAUGUUCCAGAUACUGAGCGAUCCUACGAACGACGGCCUCUUUUCGCGCUGGAUCCGGAUCGUCUGGAAAACAAGAAUUCACAGUUGCGAGGAGAAUCCCAAAUCAGGUCAUUGUCAGAAAGCACGGGCCAGACAUCCUCAUUUGGUGGUGAGGCGCAAACUUCGGCCGCCACGUCAAGAAGUGACUCAAUCUCCUCUUGAGACGUUUGCGAUGUGCACCUUCUGGCUGCAGACGUGACUAGAGGUUGCAAAGGCCUCCGCCGCCACUUCCGGCUUCCCCAUGUCAAUCCGUAGAUUGGUGCCCAGGUCCUGGGGCAAAGUGGGGGCCUCCCUGCCGGCCUCCUCCUCUGCCGGCUCACAGUCCGAGGCUCUCCGCUUGGGGAGGGGGAUGAGAGGAGGAGGUAGAGCGACGGAGUCGGGGGAGGGGUCCUGCGGCCUCGUGACAUCUCCGUCCUGAGGAGGACAAAACAAACUUCCGUUUAACAGGGAAACGUCACAACGUACCAAAGACGAGACAACCGAGAUGUCAAAUCGUUUCCCAGAAGCCAGUCGACGCUGGCGCCCACCUCUGCCAAAGCGUUGCGCUGUCGGAAACGCCGGGAAUUCCUCCUCUCUUCGGAACAGGUUCCUGUGGGUGUUGGCCAGCUCGGCGUGGAGCUUCUUCAGCUCGGAGUACCUCGUCCACACGACCACCUCUUUCACGUCCUCGGGGCAAGGCUUGGGCACAAACUAGAAAGUAAAAGGAUCCAAUCCAUGUUGAGAUUGAACAUGUCAUUUGCCUCAUUUAUGCGGGGUGGGGGAAGCUAGUCAUGAGUUUGGAUUUGCCAAGGAGGAUCAAGGCCACCUUCACGCCUAUUAAGAUAUGGACCAAUGAUUCCCCUUUGAUUGUGUCUGAAGGAAUUUCCAAAGCGAUUGUCAUGAAACGAUCUCAAGUUCUCAUUCACUGCGCUUAAUAUGCGACGUUUGGCAUUACAAAACUUAACUUUUGACUUUGAAAGAUGACAAGAAACUAAAAAAAAAAGGACCUAAUCAAAUUAAGACUGUCUUGGUGUAAAGUUAUGGCGUAACCACGAGUCAAUACAAAGUCGUUUGGAUGCUGAGCGUAA